GGUUGCUGCUAUUGGGAUUCGAUUUAGCCAUGCAAGUUUGGGGUAGCAAUACCCCGGCGAAAGGCUCAGUAACACGUCGAUAAUCUGCCCUUGGACUCGGAAUAACCUCGGAAAACUGAGGAUAAUGCCGAAUAUAAGAACCGUGCUGGAACGCUGGUUCUUUGAAACGCAAGGUCCAAGGAUGAGUCGGCGGCGGAUUAGGUUGUUGGUGGGGUAAUGGCCCACCAAGCCCAAGAUCCGUAGAGGCUUUGAGAGAAGUAGCCUCGAGAAGGGCACUGAGAUACUGGCCCUAGCCCCACGGGGUGCAGCAGGCACGAAACCUCUACAAUGCACGCAAGUGUGAUAGGGGAAUCCCAAGUGCCGAUGUUUUGCAUCGGCUUUUGCCAAAGGUAAAUACUUUGGCGAAUAAGUGGUGGGAAAGACUGGUGCCAGCCGCCGCGGUAACACCAGCGCCACGAGUGGGAACCGCAUUUAUUGGGCCUAAAGCGUCCGUAGCUCGCCCGGAAAAUCUCUUGUGAAAUCGUAGUGCUCAACACUACGGCGUGCAGGAGACACUACCGGGCUCGAGACCGGGAGGAGUCAGAGGUAUUUUUGGGGAAGCGGUAAAAUGCUGUAAUCCCAAAAGGACCACCUGUGGCGAAGGCGUCUGACUAGAACGGUUCUGACUGUGAGGGACGAAAGCCAGGGGAGCGAUCCGGAUUAGAUACCCGAGUAGUCCUGGCCGUAAACGCUGUGAGCUAGGUGUUGCACAUUCUACAUGAAUGUGCAGUGUCGAAGCGAAGGUGAUAAGCUCACCGCCUGGGAAGUACGGUCGCAAGACUGAAAC
RNAcentral lists this ribosomal RNA (826 nucleotides) under uncultured archaeon. Its description in RNAcentral is "bacterial SSU rRNA". It matches the Rfam family "Archaeal small subunit ribosomal RNA", at positions 21 to 855 of the family's 1478-position model. The record is from RNAcentral.